This 722-nucleotide ribosomal RNA is filed under the name uncultured bacterium. Its description in RNAcentral is "bacterial SSU rRNA". It matches the Rfam family "Bacterial small subunit ribosomal RNA", at positions 54 to 768 of the family's 1533-position model. The record is from RNAcentral.
CAUGCAGUCGAGGGGCAACAGGGGUAGCAAUACCUGCUGGCGACCGGCAAACCCCCUUUAGANCACGUACAGAACCUUCCUUUAAGCGGGGGAUAGCCCUUAGAAAUGUGGAUUAAUACCCCAUAGUAAUAUUUGGUGGCAUCAUUAGAUAUUUAAAGAUUUAUCACUUAAAGAUGGCUGUGCGGCUGAUUAGGUAGUUGGUGAGGGUAACGGCCCACCAAGCCAUCGAUCAGUAACUGGUGUGAGAGCACGACCAGUCACACGGGCACUGAGACACGGGCCCGACUCCUACGGGAGGCAGCAGUAAGGAAUAUUGGUCAAUGGACGCAAGUCNGAACCAGCCAUGCCGCGUGAAGGAUGAAGGCCCUCUGGGUUGUAAACUUCUUUUAUCUGGGAAGAAAUGCUUGUUUUCUAACGAGUUUGACGGUACCAGAGGAAUAAGCACCGGCUAACUCCGUGCCAGCAGCCGCGGUAAUACGGAGGGUGCAAGCGUUAUCCGGAUUCACUGGGUUUAAAGGGUGCGUANGUGGGAAUGUAAGUCAGUGGUGAAAUCUCCGUGCUUAACAUGGAAACUGCCAUUGAUACUAUGUUUCUUGAAUUUUCUGGAGGUAAGCGGAAUAUGUCAUGUAGCGGUGAAAUGCUUAGAUAUGACAUAGAACACCAAUUUGCGAAAGGCAGCUUACUACAGGGAUAUUGACACUGAGGCACGAAAGCGUGGGGAA